UACGGGGGGGGCAAGCGUUGUUCGGAAUUACUGGGCGUAAAGGGCUCGUAGGCGGCCAACUAAGUCGAACGUGAAAUCCCUCGGCUCAACCGGGGAACUGCGUUUGAUACUGGAUGGCUUGAGUUCGGGAGAGGGAUGCGGAAUUCCAGGUGUAGCGGUGAAAUGCGUAGAUAUCUGGAGGAACACCGGUGGCGAAGGCGGCAUCCUGGACCGACACUGACGCUGAGGAGCGAAAGCCAGGGGAGCAAACGG
Molecule: ribosomal RNA, 252 nt
Filed under: uncultured prokaryote
Description: partial 16S ribosomal RNA
Rfam family: Bacterial small subunit ribosomal RNA
Source: RNAcentral